UUUAGCAACACAAGUAUUAAAGGUCCCGCCUGCCCAGUGAAAUUUAUUUUUAACGGCCGCGGUAUUCUAACCGUGCAAAGGUAGCGUAAUCACUUGUCUUCUAAAUAAAGACUAGUAUGAACGGCUAAAUGAGGGUAAGACUGUCUCUUAUAAUUAAUCAGUGAAACUGACCUUCCAGUACAAACGCUGGAAUAAACACAUAAGACGAGAAGACCCCGUGGAGCUUAAAACUAAUCACUAACACAUUAUUACCCUAGUGCACUGUUUUCAGUUGGGGCGACUUCGGAAUAAAACAAAACUUCCGAGCACAGAACCACCACUUCCUACUAAGGCCAACAAGCCCAAGUACAACCUGACCCGGCUCCAAUGCCGAUCAACGAACCAAGUUACCCCGGGGAUAACAGCGCUAUCUUCUUCAAGAGUCCCUAUCAACAAGAAGGUUUACGACCUCGAUGUUGGAUCAGGACACCCAAAUGGUGCAGCCGCUAUUAAAGGUUCGUUUGUUCAACGAUUAACAGUC
Molecule: ribosomal RNA, 520 nt
Filed under: Trachylepis affinis (Senegal mabuya)
Lineage: Eukaryota; Metazoa; Chordata; Lepidosauria; Squamata; Scincidae
Description: partial 16S ribosomal RNA
Rfam family: Bacterial large subunit ribosomal RNA
Source: RNAcentral